AGCAGCCGCGGUAAUUCCAGCUCCAAUAGCGUAUAUUAAAGUUGCUGCAGUUAAAAAGCUCGUAGUUGAAUUUCGGGAUCAAUAUGUUGGUCGUGCCUUGGUACGUACUAGCUUAUUGGUUUCUCCCUUCUGACGAACCAUGAUGUCAUUAAUUUGGUGUCAUGUGGAAUCAGGACUGUUACUUUGAAAAAAUUAGAGUGUUUAAAGCAGGCUCACGCUUGAAUACAUUAGCAUGGAAUAAUGAAAUAGGACGUUUGAUUCUAUUUUGUUGGUUUCUAGGAUCGACGUAAUGAUUAAUAGGGAUAGUUGGGGGCAUUAGUAUUCAAUUGUCAGAGGUGAAAUUCUCGGAUUUAUUGAAGACUAACUACUGCGAAAGCAUUUGCUAAGGAUGUUUUCAUUAAUCAAGAACGAAAGUUAGGGGACCGAAGACGAUCAGAUACCGUCGUAGUCUUAACCAUAAACUAUGCCGACUAGGGAUCGGAUGAUGUUAAUUUUUAAUGACUCAUUC
Molecule: ribosomal RNA, 508 nt
Filed under: uncultured Glomus
Lineage: Eukaryota; Fungi; Glomeromycota; Glomeromycetes; Glomerales; Glomeraceae
Description: SSU rRNA
Rfam family: Eukaryotic small subunit ribosomal RNA
Source: RNAcentral